UCUAAUAUGACAGAGUAAUGUAAUGGAAUUAAAUCCCAUAAAUAAAGUUUAAAAUAUCUUUUAUUAGAA
RNAcentral lists this transfer RNA (69 nucleotides) under Leiodidae sp. BMNH 1274772. Its description in RNAcentral is "tRNA-Leu". The record is from RNAcentral. Lineage: Eukaryota; Metazoa; Arthropoda; Insecta; Coleoptera; Leiodidae.